AUACAAUUAAACUCGAAACAUACACUAAUGUUAUGUUUGAAUUGGUGGAAUAGGAGUGAGAAUUGAAUGAAUAAUUCUAAUGGAAUGUGAAAAAAGAUGUUUGGUUGGUCUAUUCAUGCUAGAAUGAUAUAUUCCUACUGGAAUAGUAAUCUACUUAAAAUUGUAUUUUUCAUUUCUGUCAAGGGGUCCUGAAUAAAUCAUUCCAUUCCCUAACUUUAGUCAAUCGACAGUAAUACCCCUCUAAAAUGUUCUGCUUUUACCGAUUCGGCGAGAAGAGAGAAGAUCCUUGGCUGAGAUAAGUACAUGACCACCAAUCUCAGAUUGAUUUUAUCUCAAAUAACUUCCAAGUCUCUCUAUAAUUCUGGUAUGAUUUUUGAUUAUUGAUAUAUAUAUAUAUCCAUCUAUAAAUGGAGAUAAAUUGUUUGAUCGUAUUUUUCGCUUUGAUUUUGUGGUGAUUUUGACUGUUAUUUUAUGGCGAGUAAUUUUCGAUGAGUUUCAUGUAAAUGAAUUGGAUAUUGAUAGAAAUUUUGGACUCAAUUUAUGAAUUCGACAGAACAAAUGAAACAAUUUUGUAGCAUACUAAAUUUUACGGAUUUGGAAUGGCAUGAGAUCUGUAUAUAUAUACUCACAAUUAUAUCAGGUAAACUCAUUUUACUACUCUAAAUUGCCAUUGUUCCUCAAAAUUACAUCCAUGUUAAACCACUGUGCGCAUUAUGUUUGUGUAAAUGCUUGUAAGAAGUCAGAUUCUUUAAUACUUUGGGACUCUGAUAUAUUCGUUUCUAAUCAACAGAAAAUCAUAAUAAACAUUUGGUAAAUAUUCAAAGUAUUAACUCUAAUAUUCUUCACAAUUGUUUUGAAAUUCAGUGGAAACUUUGAAAAUUGGUAAAAAUAAGAUGAAUUUUAGAUGAGUUAUAAAAUUUGAUUGGGUUGUAAUACACUUGUAUAGUCCAAAUACUGAGUAUAACAUUAUUCAAUAUUUUGACGGAAUUGGUCUCGUAGUCGCUUGUCUAAAUUAGAACAGAUAACGGAAUUGCUUUAUGGGUAUGGAUGCUUUGAAACUGUUGAGCAGGGUUAAAGAUUUUUAUGGGUCUUUGUUGUCUUUCAUUUGGUUUGUCAAAGAAUUGAUUCAAUUAACAUGUCUGCGAACAGAGAUCUAAACUAGUUCAGAUUAAAAGCUUUCAAUACCUUGUGUUGUCUGCAAAAGGGGCAGACAAGAGUAAGCAAAUGGGUUGAACAUGAGGAUGACAAGCUUGUGGUUUAACAUGUUAAUUUACUUUCUAGCUCUUGUAUUUCUUGAUUUAUUAAAGAUGUUUUACAAUGAAUCAUGUAUAUUUUUAUAUAUGUUUAUUUGAUAUUUAAUUCAUAUUUAUAAGUACAUUAGAGACUGAUUAAAUGAUUUAGUUUAGUAAACAUUACCAUAUAUAUUUGAAUAUUUGGA
Molecule: long non-coding RNA, 1438 nt
Filed under: Panax ginseng (ginseng)
Lineage: Eukaryota; Viridiplantae; Streptophyta; Magnoliopsida; Apiales; Araliaceae
Description: long non-coding RNA (PGIN_LNC006416)
Source: RNAcentral